This 1390-nucleotide small RNA is filed under the name Drosophila virilis. RNAcentral's name for it is "GJ26457". The record is from RNAcentral. Lineage: Eukaryota; Metazoa; Arthropoda; Insecta; Diptera; Drosophilidae.
GCGAUUAUAUAUAUAUAUACCAAUAAUAUAGUGCAACACAUUUACAUAAAUAAUAAGCAUACAAUUUAAAUGCUAGUGCAAUCCAAAUUCAAUGGCACUUUCGUAAAAGUAGCUUUUUACGUAAAAAGACACAUAAAAAAACGGCGCGUGUGAAAAUUUUCAACAACGACGUAGCAGCAGUCAGCAGAGGCAGUCUCAGUCUGUCUCGCCUCUACGUUUCUUUGCUGCAAAAGGAGAAGCUGAGCAACAACACAACUACAACAAAAUUCCCCACACACAAAUAGCGGUGCAUAAGUGAAGCAAAUGUACACGAAGAGGCAAACGCUGGCGACGCGCCGCGACGUCGGCUCUGCAGGACAGGUUUAUCAGGGCAAAAAUUUCACAAAAAGAUACUGAGCCGUAUAUAUACGUGUAUGUGCUCCCCUGUAUUUUGCAAAGUGCGUCUUUGUGUAUGUGUGUGUGUGUAUCAACAAUGUGUGCAACAAUAACAAAAACAACAGCAACAACAACAACGACUAACAUAGCAGCACGAGAAAGCAAAGUGAAAUUUAUUAAAGCAACAACAACAACAACACGCAAUACCAAUUCGAAACCGUUAUUCAACAAUUUCUUGAAAUAAGUGAAAGAAGGCAAAUACUGGUUUUUAUAUACAUAUACACACACAUGUAUGUAUGUGCAUGUAUAUUUUAAUGUUGAAAGAAACAACAACAACAACAACAGCAACAACUAAAAAGUUGCUGUGCGAGAAAUUUGUACGUGUAUUACCAGCGUGUGUGUGUGUGUGAGUGUGUGUGUAUGCGUGGUGUCUUCAGACUGUGUGUGAGACAAAUAGUAAAACAACAAAGUGAAAAGCAAUGCUAAAAGGAAUUAAAACAACAACAGCAACAACAACCCCAUUAACGGUACCAAACAAUUACACAAAACGUGAACGCAACGUGAAAUAACAGUAAAAGUCUUUUCAAAAAAGCUACAGAGAGCGCAACAAAAGCAACACGCGUGGGUGUCAACGUCACACGCACACACGCUCAACCAACAGCAGCAGCGCCAGCGGCAGCGCAGCAGCAGCAGCCAAGGGGUGGCUGCAGGGAACAAAGGCAGCGUCCGGCUCUGCCACUCAGCUUUACAAUUGAGCAUAUUUUCAAGGGCUCCAACAAGCGCGCGCUGCGUUUCAAUUUAAAUUAUUGGAGAUGCUGAAUGUGGUCAAUAUUUUCAAUAGGUGUUCCAAAAUCAUUGGACUAUAAGUCACAAAGUUACAAUGGACCCGAACAGGCAUAACGAAUAUCAAACGCAUCAUCAUCAAACUUCCCACCCACUGCAACACCUGCAGCAUCAGCAUGUGCAUGCGUAUCCACAACAUGCGGUGCAUAACCACAUACACCACCAACAACAA